GGAUAAGAACUUUCAGAGAUGGAUUGGUGCCUUCGGGAACUGUGAGACAGGUGCUGCAUGGCUGUCGUCAGCUCGUGUUGUGAAAUGUUGGGUUAAGUCCCGCAACGAGCGCAACCCUUAUCCUUUGUUGCCAGCGGUCCGGCCGGGAACUCAAAGGAGACUGCCAGUGAUAAACUGGAGGAAGGUGGGGAUGACGUCAAGUCAUCAUGGCCCUUACGACCAGGGCUACACACGUGCUACAAUGGCGCAUACAAAGAGAAGCGACCUCGCGAGAGCAAGCGGACCUCAUAAAGUGCGUCGUAGUCCGGAUUGGAGUCUGCAACUCGACUCCAUGAAGUCGGAAUCGCUAGUAAUCGUGGAUCAGAAUGCCACGGUGAAUACGUUCCCGGGUCUUGUAACACACCGA
RNAcentral lists this ribosomal RNA (406 nucleotides) under bacterium sp. ZYQ-2015-12. RNAcentral describes it as "bacterial SSU rRNA". It matches the Rfam family "Bacterial small subunit ribosomal RNA", at positions 992 to 1393 of the family's 1533-position model. The record is from RNAcentral.